RNAcentral lists this RNase P RNA (314 nucleotides) under Candidatus Omnitrophica bacterium 4484_49. RNAcentral's name for it is "RNase P RNA component class A". It matches the Rfam family "Bacterial RNase P class A". Rfam says of the family: Ribonuclease P (RNase P) is a ubiquitous endoribonuclease, found in archaea, bacteria and eukarya as well as chloroplasts and mitochondria. Its best characterised activity is the generation of mature 5'-ends of tRNAs by cleaving the 5'-leader elements of precursor-tRNAs. Cellular RNase Ps are ribonucleoproteins. The record is from RNAcentral. Lineage: Bacteria; Pseudomonadati; Candidatus Omnitrophota. RNAcentral also lists the same sequence under 1 other name.
GAGGCAGGUCGAGUGGCCGCCUUUUCCGGAAAAGCCGGAAAGGGAGGAAAGUCCGAGCCCAGAGGGCAGGCGCAUCCCGAUAACUUCGGGACUCCCGGACUUCUAAUCCGGGAAGGAUAAGAGCCACAGAGACGUAGUCCUGAACCAGUUACGGUUCAGGGGUGAAACGUGGCAAUCUCUGCGCGGGGUAAGGCCAAAUAACCCCGUGGCUGGCCCGGCCAAUGGGUGGGUAGGCCGCAUGAAUCCCGGUGUAAGCCGGGAACAAGAUAAAUGGCCACAUAAAACAGAACUCGGCUUAUGAACCUGCCUCCUGC